GAGGGUACAGCUCAGUGGUAGAGCAUGUGCUUAGCAUGCACAACGUCAUGGGUUCAAUCCCCAGUACCUCCA
This is a transfer RNA of Camelus ferus (Wild Bactrian camel), 72 nucleotides long. It matches the Rfam family "tRNA". Rfam says of the family: Transfer RNA (tRNA) molecules are approximately 80 nucleotides in length. NCBI's taxonomy places the organism in Eukaryota, Metazoa, Chordata, Mammalia, Artiodactyla, Camelidae. The record is from Rfam.